Molecule: non-coding RNA, 484 nt
Organism: Biomphalaria pfeifferi
Lineage: Eukaryota; Metazoa; Mollusca; Gastropoda; Planorbidae
Source: the annotation of a GenBank genome assembly
AACUUUGCAAGCUCUUAAAGGAUUAUCAAUAUUAUUUGGAACUUAAAAUGUGACAUACCACACAAAACUAAUAGCAACUUUUCUCCUGUGGAGUGCAGCUAAAAAGACUAAUUAGUGCAGCCUAAGUAACAAAUUGUUUUGUUUGACUUAGUAUUUCUCUGUGAAAUUGUGUAAACAAAUUUUCAGUGUUUUGUACGAAAUCUAUAUGAUACCCUUGAUCAAGGUAAACCUGCAGUCCUGGGCUCGGCAAAGACAGUGAUUUUGUAUUUCAGGAUUUUUAGGGUGCCCUGAGUCCACCCAGCCCUAAUGGGUACCUGACUUUAGUUGUGGAAAAAGUAAAGGUGGUUGGUUGUUGUGAUGGCCACAUGACAUCUUGCUUGUUAACCGUCGUACAAAGAAACAUGACUUUAAAGCUGCCCUAUUAAAUCUCAAAAACUAUUUGUGUAAACGUCUAUAACUUUAAAAAUAAAGACUAAAAAUGACA